CUCCCGGUGGCCAAGUUGGUUUAAGGCGCAAGACUGUAAAUCUUGAUAUCGGGCGUUCGAAUCGCCCCCGGGAGA
Molecule: transfer RNA, 75 nt
Filed under: Lachancea thermotolerans
Lineage: Eukaryota; Fungi; Ascomycota; Saccharomycetes; Saccharomycetales; Saccharomycetaceae
Also listed under: 2 other names
Description: tRNA-Tyr
Rfam family: tRNA
About the family: Transfer RNA (tRNA) molecules are approximately 80 nucleotides in length. Their secondary structure includes four short double-helical elements and three loops (D, anti-codon, and T loops). Further hydrogen bonds mediate the characteristic L-shaped molecular structure. tRNAs have two regions of fundamental functional importance: the anti-codon, which is responsible for specific mRNA codon recognition, and the 3' end, to which the tRNAs corresponding amino acid is attached (by aminoacyl-tRNA synthetases). tRNAs cope with the degeneracy of the genetic code in two manners: having more than one tRNA (with a specific anti-codon) for a particular amino acid; and 'wobble' base-pairing, i.e. permitting non-standard base-pairing at the 3rd anti-codon position.
Source: RNAcentral